UCUGCCCAUGCAAAUCGACUUGGCUUCAAGAAGACAUCCAGGCAGCUUGGAGAAGCGUCCCUCUGUUCCUCACUCUGGGUUUCAUCUCUGGUAAGCACUGACCCAUCCAGACAGACAUGGCCCCUCUCCUGGUCGUCUUCUGCCUGCUGGCUGCUCUCCACGGUGUCGAGGCUGAGGACCCUCUCGUGCAAUGGGGAGGUGGAGUGGUGGUCUCCUCACAGACACUCAGCCUCACCUGUGCCGCCUACAAACGCAAAGUUUCAGAAUAUUCCCUGUGGUGGAUUCGCCUUCUCCCAGGGAAGGGGUUGGAGUGCGUAGGUGUGAUCUGGGCUAAGGGGGACACUCAGUGCAGCCCCCACCUGCAGUCUCGAGUCAGCAUCUCCAGGGACGCCACCAAGAACCAAGUGUUCUUACAGCUGAGCAGUGUGAUGCCUGAGGAUUCAGGCGUGUAUUACUGUGCUCAAGACACUGUGAUACAAAUGCUGUGAGAGCCCAGAC
This is a non-coding RNA of Equus caballus (horse), 498 nucleotides long. The record is from the annotation of a RefSeq genome assembly. Lineage: Eukaryota; Metazoa; Chordata; Mammalia; Perissodactyla; Equidae.